This 1464-nucleotide ribosomal RNA is filed under the name uncultured Bordetella sp. RNAcentral's name for it is "partial 16S-23S ribosomal RNA intergenic spacer". It matches the Rfam family "Bacterial small subunit ribosomal RNA". The record is from RNAcentral. Lineage: Bacteria; Pseudomonadati; Pseudomonadota; Betaproteobacteria; Burkholderiales; Alcaligenaceae.
AGUUCGAUCAUGGCUUGACUGAGAACGCCGGCGAUGCUUUUAUGGCCAUGCAAGUCGAAUGGCAGCACGACUUCGGUCUGGUGGCGGCGGCGAACGGGGUGAGUAAUGUAUCGAACGCCUAGUGGCGGGGAGUUAAUGACGCAGCGUAGCUAUCAUCGUAGCGACAACACCUUCAGGAGUGGGGAUCCGGGCCCACCAUAGAGCGGCCGAUAUCGGAUUAGCUGUAGUUAGGGUAACGGUCACCGAAGGUGUUAAUGAUCCGUAGCUGGUUUGAGGCAGACGACCAGCCACACUGGACCGAGAUUAUCACCGCUCAGACUCCGGCCAGGAGGCAGCAGUGGUAAUUCUGACAAUAAAACUCCUGAUCCAGCCAUCCCGCGUGCGAUGAAGGCCUUCGGGUUGUAAAGCACUUUUGGCAGAGAGGUGAAACGGUACUGGAUAAUGUACCCCGCAACUGACGGUACCUGCAGAAUAAGCACCGGCUAACUACGUGCCAGCAGCCGCGUAAUACGCAGGGUGCAAGCGUUAAUCGGAAUUACUGGCGCAAGCGUGCGCAGGCGGUUCGAAAGAAAGAUGUGAAAUCCAGAGCUUAACUUUGGAACUGCAUUUAACUACCGAGCUAGAGUGUGUCAGAGGGAGGUGGAAUUCCGCGUGUAGCAGGAAAUGCGUAGGGAUAUGCGGAGGAACACCGAUGGCGAAGGCAGCCUCCUCGGGAUAACACUGACGCUCAUGCACGAAAGCGCGUGGGGAGCAAACAGGAUUAGAUGACUCUGCAGUCCACGCCCUAAACGAUGUCAACUAGCUGUUGGGGCCUUCGCCUUGCAGCGCAGCUAACGCGUGAAGUUGACCGCCUGGGGAGUACGGUCGCAAGAUUAAAACUCAAAGGAAUUGACGGGACCGCUACUGCCGUGACGAUGGGAUUAAUCAGAUGCAACGCGAAAAACCUUACCUACUCCUGACAUGUCUGGAAUCCGAAGAGAUUUGGGAGUGCUCGCAAGAGAACUGAACACAGGUGUCACGGCUGUCGUCAGCUCGUGUCGUGAGAUGUUGGGUUAAGUCCCGGCAACGAGCGCAACCCUUGUCAUUAGUUAAGCACGAAAGCGGGCACUCUAAUGAGACUGCCGGUGACAAACCGAGGGUAUGUGGACGACGCUGCUGUCCUCAUGGCCCUUAUGGGUAGGGUCGAUGACGUCGCGACAAUGGUCGACAGAGGGUCGCUAACCAGGCGAGGGGGAGCCAAUCCCAGAAACCCGAUCGCAGUCCGGAUCGCAGUCUGCAACUCGACCGCGCAAGUCGGAAUCGCUAGUAAUCGCGGAUCAGCAUUGUCAUGGUGAAUACGUUCCCGGUCUUGUACACACCGCCCGUCACACCAUGGGAGUGGGUUUUACCAGAAGUAGUUAGCCUAACCGUAAGAGGGCGAUUACCACGGCAGGAUUCAUGAUCAGUGAAGUUCGUAAUACGUAG